CUUUACCAAAAAAAAAAAAUAUCUCUAUAUAAGAACACCACUUUGAAGCGGGUCCAAAGUCUGGUAUCAAGUAAGAUGGUAUUUGGCUGCUGUCUAGAGCCAACAGCAUCGAUCCACUUUCUUUGAAGACAUAUAGAUCAUUAAUUUUCCUAACGAUAGGUUCGAUGCUACUCAUACCUUCUCCCUGAAAUUAACCAAACUUGACUGAGUCCCAAAAAUUUGUACAUCCUGGUAAAAGUUGACUUCUGAGAGAAUUGUUGCCAGUCAUGUGAAUCAUUAAAUUCACCUAAUCUUACCCCUGAAGGACGGGUGGUCAAAACUAAUGGAACCAUAGUUAAGUCAGAUGAUCAGGAACGCAAAGAAGAUGUAUGAAAGGUGGAGAAUCGGUCCCGAAAACUGGAAAUUCAUUCAAUGGAGAAGAUCUGGAUGGAUGGGUAUUCAGAGCGGAGAGGUAUUUUACCAUCAAUUUCUUGUCCAACCGGGAGAAAAUUGAGGUGGCCGCAAUUUGCUUUGAAGGAGAGCAUCUAGCUUGGUUCCAAUGGAAAGAUAGCUGGCAGAUAAUCAGGAGUUGGGAUGAUUUAAAGGGGCGCCUGUUGGAACGAUUUCGGCCAUCCCAGGAGGGCUCGAUUUUAGAGAAAAUCUUGGUGCUUAAACAAUAAGGGACGGUCAAGGAGUAUCGUAGGAGAUUCGAGGUUCUGG
Molecule: long non-coding RNA, 699 nt
Filed under: Olea europaea subsp. europaea
Lineage: Eukaryota; Viridiplantae; Streptophyta; Magnoliopsida; Lamiales; Oleaceae
Source: RNAcentral